GAUGAACGCUGGCGGCGUGCUUAACACAUGCAAGUCGAACGGAAAGGCCAGUGCUUGCACUGGUGCUCGAGUGGCGAACGGGUGAGUAACACGUGGGUGAUCUGCCCUGCACUUUGGGAUAAGCCUGGGAAACUGGGUCUAAUACCAGAUAGGACCAUGCUUUGGAUGGUGUGGUGGAAAGUUUUUUCGGUGUGGGAUGAGCUUGCGGCCUAUCAGCUUGUUGGUGGGGUAAUGGCCUACCAAGGCGUCGACGGGUAGCCGGCCUGAGAGGGUGUACGGCAGCAUUGGGAAUGAGAGACGGCCCAGAGUACUGCGGGAGGGAGGAGGGGGGAGUGUGGCACAAUGGGUGCAAGUAUGAUGCAGCGACGGCGCGUGGGGGAGGACGUCGUUCGGGUGGUAAAAUCCUUACGCAACUGACGAAGCUUGUUGUGACGGGAGGUUGAGAAGAAGCACCGGCUAACUACGUG
This 467-nucleotide ribosomal RNA is filed under the name uncultured bacterium. RNAcentral describes it as "partial 16S ribosomal RNA". It matches the Rfam family "Bacterial small subunit ribosomal RNA", at positions 28 to 507 of the family's 1533-position model. The record is from RNAcentral.